This 467-nucleotide ribosomal RNA is filed under the name uncultured bacterium. RNAcentral's name for it is "partial 16S ribosomal RNA". It matches the Rfam family "Bacterial small subunit ribosomal RNA", at positions 28 to 507 of the family's 1533-position model. The record is from RNAcentral.
GAUGAACGCUGGCGGCGUGCUUAACACAUGCAAGUCGAACGAUGAUGCCCAGCUUGCUGGGUGGAUUAGUGGCGAACGGGUGAGUAACACGUGAGUAACCUGCCCUUGACUCUGGGAUAAGCCUGGGAAACUGGGUCUAAUACCGGAUACGACCAUCUGGCGCAUGUCAUGGUGGUGGAAAGCUUUUGUGGUUUUGGAUGGACUCGCGGCCUAUCAGCUUGUUGGUGUGGUAAUGGCCUACCAAGGCGACGACGGGUAGCCGGCCUGAGAGGGUGACCGGCGACACUGGGCCUGAGACACGGCCCAGACUCCUACGGGAGGCAGCAGUGGGGAAUAUUGCACAAUGGGCGCACGCCUGAUGCAGCGACGCCGCGUGAGGGAUGACGGCCUUCGGGUUGUAAACCUCUUUCAGUAGGGAAGAAGCGAAAGUGACGGUACCUGCAGAAGAAGCGCCGGCUAACUACGUG